Molecule: long non-coding RNA, 342 nt
Filed under: Marmota monax (woodchuck)
Lineage: Eukaryota; Metazoa; Chordata; Mammalia; Rodentia; Sciuridae
Source: RNAcentral
GGCCGCUGUCUGGGCUGCCUGUUGGGCCGCUCGCCGCCUCGCGAAGGCCUUGGCUUCCAAACUCCUGCGCGCGGUCAUCCUAGGGCCGCCUGGCUAGGGCAAGGGCACCGUGUGCCAGAGGAUCGCCCAGAACUUUGGCCUCCAGCAUCUCUCCAGUGGCCACUUCUUGCGGGAGAACCUCAAAGCCAACACGGAAGUUGGCGAAAUGGCAAGGCAGUACCUGGAGAAAGGUCUGUUGGUUCCAGAUCACGUGAUCACACGCCUUAUGGUGUCAGAGCUGGAGCUCAGGAGCGGCCAACACUGGCUACUGGAUGGUUUUCCAAGGACAAUAGUACAGGCUGA